Non-coding RNA from Oryzias latipes (Japanese medaka), 145 nucleotides. Lineage: Eukaryota; Metazoa; Chordata; Actinopteri; Beloniformes; Adrianichthyidae. The record is from RefSeq and is a predicted model, not a curated record.
CCACUUCCUGUUUGGGGGGGCCUUAUGAAGGCACAGUCAGAUGUACACCCAUGAAAUUUUAGAUGAUGAGAGAGGACCUUUCUGAGUAUCUCCAGUUUUAAUUUCAUGCACGUCGGACGAAGCGCAGAGAAAAGAUAGGUCAGAA